UUGCAGAUUGUUUUGAAGCAAGCAAUUUUGGAAGUUCCAAUUUCCGGGCAGAUUUCGGAUUUUGAUAAUACUAUUUUACUCACACGAAACUCAAUCAAACAACUCAACAGAGUUCUUCAUAAAGCAGGUGCAAAGAAAAUAGCAGCUCUCGAAAGAAUGAUAAAAUUCAACGGCCAAAUAGUAAAUCUCCAAUGGGAAUACGAUAAAUUGACGAACCGCAUAGAAAAUCUAGAGAAGCGGCUGCAAUAUUUGGAAAAAUUUAAAGUCACCAAAGAAAUCUUCGAGAAUCUUCAAAAAUUCUCGGGUGGAAUGGACCCGCGUGAAAAGGAAGGAAUCGAUAUGGAUGCCAAAGCAAUGGCUUUACGAGAGUCCCUGAGAAAAAAAAUGCGUCUCGUUAUAGAGGAAACAGACCGAACCGAAAGAAAGAUCAAUCGGAUAAAAGAUGAUAACAAAAGAAUGGAAGAGAGAAUGAAAGAUAUUUCAAAGAAAAUAACCCAGCUGAAGCAAAGGAGGGAUUUCAAAUUUGAAGAGACACUAAAUGACGUCACAAGGCACAGAUUGCUGCUGAUAUCCCGCCGAGGCACCCUCCUGACAGAAAUUCAGCAACUAGACUCUAACGUAUCGACGCUGCAGUCUAAGCUCGAGUUACUGCGGAUGAAGACAUAUCCUACCCUAAAGGCCAGCCCAAUAACUUAAAGUAUCCAAGGCCCGAAGAGAUCGGAAAUAUUUGUAUUACAGAAUUUCAAGGUGAAAUCGCCCCGAAGUUCAUACAUGUUUCCUCCAUUGAGAGCGAUAACUAUAGCGGUGGGAGAAAAUCGCGUUCUCAGAACUUAAAAAUAGCAAACAAUUUGAUGUAACAAACGUGCAUACAUAAGAAAAGCGUAGAUAAUAAUGAAAACAUGUCUCCUUGUUGAUGUUUUUAAACGUAAAUAAAUUAUUUAUCCACUUCACACACCUGAUGUUUUAUAUUCUUUAAAUCUGCGCAUCCUGUUUAAAAAAUGCCAUGGAAAUAUUUUUUUUUAUGGUUUAUUAUGAAGUUCAAAUUUUUUAAUUAAACAUGAAAAUACUAGUAUAUUUGUAUUUUAUUAUUAUUUUUUAUUUUUUCAUAUUUUCAUACUUUUUAUUUCUUGUUUUUAUUUUUAUUUUAUUCUAGUUUUUA
This 1159-nucleotide long non-coding RNA is filed under the name Bemisia tabaci. RNAcentral describes it as "lncRNA ENSSSA3NGG004312". Lineage: Eukaryota; Metazoa; Arthropoda; Insecta; Hemiptera; Aleyrodidae. The record is from RNAcentral.